AGGUUAGGGCAGAGAGCUGAGAGCCAGGAUUGCUGGGCUGUUGGCACUACAGAAGUGCAGAAGAUUAUAACAAUAGAGAAAAACAUGCUUAGGGCUCUCUUUAAAAAAGGAAAGCAGUUAUGGGACUUCCUCUUGAUCAAUGCCCCAGAGUGGGAUGGGGCGGGGGAGGGAAGAGAAGAGAGUCAGACUCUAUAUUUCCCCCUUGCUCUAUUUGUUUAUCACUGUGAGGAGGUGAAGGCUACUGCCU
Dermochelys coriacea (leatherback sea turtle) is the source of this 247-nucleotide long non-coding RNA. RefSeq lists it as uncharacterized. Lineage: Eukaryota; Metazoa; Chordata; Testudines; Dermochelyidae. The record is from RefSeq and is a predicted model, not a curated record. The transcript has 3 exons.